CCCCUCAUUCGAUCCAGAUACCUAGUUCCAUCAUUUCCACGGUUAUAAUUGCUUGCAGACAGAUGCUUUGUACCAUGUCCUGAUUCAGAGCUCUGGCCUUUCACAUUGUCGUUCCCAGACUUUUGAUGUUCCCGACGGUCAGCUUCACUCUUCUUCUCAUAGUCCUGCUUCCGCUCGCUUUCCUUAUCAGCUUUCUUUUCCAUCUCUUCAGCAUCAGAAUUACUCUUACUUGAACCCUUGUCUUUUUCUUUCCUUCUUUCCUGACGCCUCUUCUCUGCU
Molecule: unclassified non-coding RNA, 279 nt
Filed under: Hevea brasiliensis (rubber tree)
Lineage: Eukaryota; Viridiplantae; Streptophyta; Magnoliopsida; Malpighiales; Euphorbiaceae
Source: RNAcentral